Astyanax mexicanus (Mexican tetra) is the source of this 1041-nucleotide long non-coding RNA. RefSeq lists it as uncharacterized. Lineage: Eukaryota; Metazoa; Chordata; Actinopteri; Characiformes; Acestrorhamphidae. The record is from RefSeq and is a predicted model, not a curated record. The transcript is spliced from 2 exons.
CAAGGGAGCAGAGUCUGGAGGAAGAGUGGAGAGACACACAGUCCAAGCUGCUUGAGGUCUAGUGUGAAGUUUCCACCAAUCAGUGAUGGUUUGGAGAGACAUGUCAUCUGCUGCUGUUGGAGAUUUCGUUUUCCUGCAGGACUUGGCACACUGCCCACACUGCCAAAUAUACCAGUUGGUCUUAUAUAAUAUUCUAGUUUUCUGAGACACUGAUUUUUGUUUUUUUUAUCAUUUGAUAAUCAUCAACAAUAAACACUUAAAAUAGAUCACUCUGUGUGUAAUACAUCUAUAUAAUAUAUGAGUUUAACAUUUUGAAUUCAAUUACUGAAAUAAAGUAACUUUUUAAUGAAAUUCAAAUUUUUUGAGAUACACCUAUAGUCAUUUUAGCAUAAUAAUAGUUAUAAUAAUGUACUUAAUUUAGCUGUGAUCCUGCUUUGUGAUUCUCUCAUUUUGUGCUUAUUUAUCAAAUCAAAACGGAAUAACCAUGUGAGACUGACAGCUUAUAAUGAUGCCUCCUCACUAAAGGCGCUCAGGCCAGUGAGGUUUGGUUGAUGUUUUUCAGUUGUGACGACGGUGUGCUCCUGUUUUAAACACAUUGGUCAUUAAAAUGCGGUGCUUUACGCACUUCCUAGCCUGUACAGGUGUUUGGGAACGCUACUGCUGUAGGAUUUCUGUAGUACUUCUCUUACCGUGUGCGGUAGCUCUCUCUAACGUGCCUGAAAAGGCUGGGUUUUCUAUAAGUCACUUUGCCCAAGGAUUGUGCUUAAGUGGUCGAGCGAGCAUCACACACAAUGCUCUUUCUACCAGAUAAGAUGAUCUUCACACUGCAAUGCAAAGACAUUUAAAAGAAAAAACAGUCACUAAGCAGUUAUUUGUGAGGAUUUAUAUCCUCUUUAAGCUUUGUAUUUUUUUUUUCUUUUGUAGUUGUGAUUAAAAUUUAUUUGAGUGGACAUGAAAUGUCCUUAUCUGUUGCUGUCUUAUUGCUAUGCUGUCUUAUUUGCUAAAAACCUUUCACAAUUAAAAGGCUUUACUUGGCAUGCA